AAUACGGCUAAAAUCCUGGUGCAAUGUGAGGUGUUUAUUCCACACUGCAGGAGCACGUAGGCGCUCUCAUCACAUCCCAGAUUUCAACUGUAUGAGGUGCUGGAAAUAAUUCUAGCAAAAAAAGGUGCUUCCUUUUCCAAAUUGCUACAAUCUCUGUGUGAGAAAGGAUAACAAAGUGGGACAGAAAGCAGAUGGAUUGGGUUCAUAGUCUGAACCUCUGGAAGUUUCAGCGAUAUAUGUUUAUUAUUAGGUUUUAACUGAACACCUUAUUGGGCAGGUUGAUAAAGGAGCCGUUUCGACAUUCGAUACGAAUACAUUUCAAAAAGGUAUGAGCUGCUGCUAAUUAAGUCAGUUGUGAUUAUCUGCCCUCUUCCACAGGAAUGCCUUUUGCCAGGUUGCCACCGGUCUGUCAGAUCUGGGCUCCUGCUUCUGGCUGGGAGCAGCGCCUGUGCUCUGGGCAGCAGUGAAGAUCUCCCAGGUGAAGUGUAACGUUGUACCUGGGCCUGGGGACUUGGCUUUAGUCUUCACAACGUGGCGUACGGAUUACCGUGACAAUCUCACAAAGCUUCACAAAGAGGAGUAAAUGUCGUCAUCUGCAUUUUACAGUUCUUUUUUGGGAAGAUCAAACCUCGGCGCAGAGAUGUGACCCUGCUGGCUCGGGCUGUACAGAGCGCUCACGCUGCAUGUCUGGAGGCGCAGGGGUCCCUUUGUCGCAUGAGCCUGGUCCACGCGGAUCUGGGAAGCGUAAAGGGACUCAAAUUUACCCACGUAGGGGACGAGAGGGUUUUUCAGCACAGUGGAGGAAAAAAAAAAGAAACAGGGAGUUUCACAAGUUUCUGCAGCAGAGGGAUGUGUGGUUCUUGGCUUUGUUUUCGCUUCGGAAAUGGGCAGCAGCCAGCAAAUGUCGGAGGUGUUUGUUAGUGACUGAGGGUGCUGAAGAGACAAUCAAAUAUUUGUGACAAAGGCAAAGACCUUGGAUGUUAUCGUUGACACCCAGACGGCUCAAGAAAAGAGCAAAUACUGCGUUCAUUGUAUUGUCUCUUACUGUAAAUGACAAAAUGACAUUUUUGCCAGGCUCAUGUGUAUUGAUCAGCUUCAGCCCUUAGUAACUUAAAUACUGUAAAUGGGUGAGGGAUAGGUUUGUCUGUCUGGCAGUAAUUAAGUGAGUCUCUCACUGGCUGAACAAAGAGGUGACCCAAUGAGGCCUCACACUAGUGCCAUUUUUUUCCUAUUUUGAGAGAGCUAUAGUCACUUCUACUGAAAACAAGGAAGGCAUUAAAAUAGUGACAGAUUUAAAACUCUCUUUAAGAAGUCAGCUUUUUGGGGGAGAUACCCUCUUUUCAUAAAACCGAACAGGAUUCUUCAUUUGACAUUUCCGUCGCAUGACUUGCUGAAUAAUCUCAGCACAAAUCAGGUGUACAGCGAACAUCCCACACAGUCACCCACCACCUGGAAUGGAGGCACGAUAUUUAAGGGGAGGGGGAAAAGUAAAUUAAAUGGUUAAUUAAAGCACCUGGGGAAGCUUGAUAUAGUGACUGGCCAAAAAAAAGGCCCACAAAUGGCUCCAAAUGCUGUUGUGCUUCUGAUAAGAAGCUCUGUGCCACGAUCCAUCGUGCCAGGAUACCUGCCUGUCACCCCAAAGAUGCUGAGUGGGCGCCAGUUAUAAAGAGAGCAGAAGAACCCCAAAGCUGCUACUGAAGAGGGUUUGUGGCCACCCCCAAGCCCCCUAAGCUGACCAGGAGGUGCUCGUUCCCUGAUUUUGGAGGGUGGCCCUGCACUCACUGGGACAAUUACAUAGGGACCCUGAUGGGAACAGCCUCGGCGAGCGGGAGCCCCGCGGGGCGCGUCGUCGCGCCCCGGCACAGCACAGGGGGCCUCGUGCCUUCCCUUCCUUCGGUCCUUUGAGGGUGGGGGAAACCUCCAAGGGGGUUGGAGGGAGUAACCUCUGCUUUCGGGUACCACCAAAUUAAGACCCAGGCAGUGAGGAUUCAGCUUUUCAUCUGGUUUCAAAGGGCGCGCCGUGUGCUUUAUUUGGAUUUAGAUGCAUAAUUUAAAAGGUGUUUUUUACUGAAUAAUCAAACUUGUCAUUUGAUUGCCUUCCUUCUAUGGGUACGUGUAACAGUCACUUAUGUUCUACUGUAACAGAAUAAAG
Non-coding RNA from Phalacrocorax carbo (great cormorant), 2152 nucleotides. NCBI's taxonomy places the organism in Eukaryota, Metazoa, Chordata, Aves, Suliformes, Phalacrocoracidae. The record is from RefSeq and is a predicted model, not a curated record.